This 798-nucleotide long non-coding RNA is filed under the name Canis lupus familiaris (dog). RNAcentral's name for it is "lncRNA (ENSCAFG00040007799.1)". Lineage: Eukaryota; Metazoa; Chordata; Mammalia; Carnivora; Canidae. The record is from RNAcentral.
UGGUCAUCAGCAACAAAGGUCCUGAAGAGAGAUCAGUCUCCAAAGAGAAUGAAAGCGGGGCUUUGUGAAGCCAUGAAUACAAGAUGCAGUGACCUGUGAAUAAGCACAGUCAACUAGUACUAAAAGAAAAUCAGAUUGGAGGCUCUAUUGCAGACCAAGCCAGAGCUAAAAAGAUGACAGUCACCUUUAGGAUAUAGCAAGCAAAGUGUGACUUAAAGCCUGACUACCUUUAAGGAGAGAAGGUCACAAUGCCAGGAUGGAUCAUGACUAAGAGGAGAGCAAUAUUCAAAGGGAGCAAAUAUCUUCUCCAGAAUUUUGGACUUUAUGUUGUGCUCCACCAGGCUGCCAGGGCUGAAAUGACUGGUUGUAGGUUCUGGAGCUUCAGACACACGGGGAUGCUCCCUCAUCUCUAUGCUGGGUACCGCAGGCUUGGCUGCAAAUGCUGCUGGGAUCCACCUGGUCCUACUUAUCAACACUCGACAAAUUCUGCUACUCACAGGCUCCAUGAAGAAAGUAAAAAUGUAAUUUUUAAAAAAAAUGUAAUUGUUGAUGACUCAGGCCCCACUGAGGAACAAACGGAACAGAGCUUCCCUAACAGCAAAUUUAAGCAAAAUACAUGCAUACCUACAUAUAUUCAUUGUCAGUAAUAUAGAAUUCGGGGUUACUUCCCUCUAGCAUUCUUUCUCAUUUUUCCUCACUAGAAAAUGGUGAUUCAUUUAGCUAUGUGUGGCUAAGAAAAAUGCAUCUACCACAUUUAGCUAUGUGUAGCUAAGAAUCAUACACCAGCUAUAGUCUUAC